CAGUGGGCUCUGAUUUCAAUGGAAAUCCCCCCAUGAAUAAACGUGUCUCGAAUCUCAAAGGGCACAAUAAAUCAGAAGAUUUAUGGACUGUAAACAGUCAUGGCCUGAUAUUCCAAUCUGCACGUGGAGUACCUGGGGCCAGGUACACAGCCUUUUGGCUGGACUGGAAACAGUCACCUGGUUGCUGUAUUGUGUUUUAUUUGUUUGUUUGCCUCAGUGAAAGAAUUUUAGUAGCUCUGGUAAUCAACAAGAUGCAACCAUCCCUGCUCUCCGGUUCUUCCCUAUGCAAUUCAUGAGCAACAAGCCUCCCCAGUGAAAGGCAGCACAGCAAUGCCAGGCCAAUGUGCAGCCAAGAAAUAAGUGAGCCCUGCUGGUGGUGGCGUCUGGGAGCUGUUCUCUGUAGCACAGGGGAUGCGCGGAAACACACCUGCACUCGUGACAGCCAGCAGCCCUCCCCCCUUCCGUGAACUCAAACCGGCAACCCUGUUUGCACCCGCAACCCUGCAGAGCUUCUGGAAAGCAGCAGCGUGUGGAAGAAGGCAAAGGGCUGGUGCAAACCACAGGAAACACCUUCCCUGGACCAACCACCACCACACCUGCAGCCUCCGCCCCUACCUGCCUGCCUAGAGGACCGCUCAAGGGAGGGCUGGGGAUCGGUGAACCGCUAGCAGGAGGAAGCUAGGGCAGCCCCGGUGGCUCAGCGGUUUAGCGGUUAAGCACUGCCUUCGGCCCAGGGCGUGAUCCUGGGGA
Canis lupus familiaris (dog) is the source of this 750-nucleotide long non-coding RNA. RefSeq lists it as uncharacterized. Lineage: Eukaryota; Metazoa; Chordata; Mammalia; Carnivora; Canidae. The transcript is spliced from 3 exons. The record is from RefSeq and is a predicted model, not a curated record.